UUCGAGAGUUCUGACGCACCAAGUAACGC
RNAcentral lists this non-coding RNA (29 nucleotides) under Bombyx mori (domestic silkworm). Lineage: Eukaryota; Metazoa; Arthropoda; Insecta; Lepidoptera; Bombycidae. The record is from RNAcentral.